CGGCCCCUACGGGACGCAGCAGUGAGGAAUAUUGGUCAAUGGGCGGGAGCCUGAACCAGCCAAGUCGCGUGAGAGAAGACGGUCCUAUGGAUUGUAAACCUCUUUAGGCGGGGAGCAAUGCCGGGCACGCGUGCCCGGAGGGAGAGUACCCGCAGAAUAAGCAUCGGCUAACUCCGUGCCAGCAGCCGCGGUAAUACGGAGGAUGUGAGCGUUAUCCGGAUUUAUUGGGUUUAAAGGGUGCGUAGGCGGAUUUUUAAGUCAUCGGUAAAAUGUCCGGGCUCAACCCGGGCCGGCCGUUGAAACUG
RNAcentral lists this ribosomal RNA (305 nucleotides) under uncultured bacterium. RNAcentral describes it as "bacterial SSU rRNA". It matches the Rfam family "Bacterial small subunit ribosomal RNA", at positions 333 to 635 of the family's 1533-position model. The record is from RNAcentral.